CCUACGGGUGGCAGCAGUGAGGAAUAUUGGUCAAUGGCCGGAAGGCUGAACCAGCCAAGCCGCGUGAAGGUCAGUGCUCCAUGGGCGUUAAACUUCUUUUGUGCGGGAGCAAUAAUGGUCACGUGUGGCCAGACGAGAGUACCGUACGAAUAAGCAUCGGCUAACUCCGUGCCAGCAGCCGCGGUUAUACGGGGGAUGCAAGCGUUAUCCGUAUUUAUUGGGUUUAAAGGGUGCGUAGGGUGGGAGGUAAGUCAGCGGUGAAAUGCCCCGGGUCAACGGGGUGAAGUGCCAUUGAUACUGCCUUGCUGGAAUGCGGAUGACGUGGGAGGAAUGGGUGGUGUAGCGGUGAAAUGCAUAGAUAUCACACAGAACACCGAUUGCGAAGGCAGCUCACGAAUCCGCGAUUGACGCUGAUGCACGAAAGCGUGGGUAUCAAACAGGAUUAGAUACCCGUGUAGUC
This 460-nucleotide ribosomal RNA is filed under the name uncultured bacterium. RNAcentral's name for it is "partial 16S ribosomal RNA". It matches the Rfam family "Bacterial small subunit ribosomal RNA", at positions 338 to 795 of the family's 1533-position model. The record is from RNAcentral.